This 75-nucleotide small nucleolar RNA is filed under the name Notamacropus eugenii (tammar wallaby). RNAcentral describes it as "Small nucleolar RNA SNORD82 (ENSMEUG00000018275.1)". It matches the Rfam family "Small nucleolar RNA SNORD82". Rfam says of the family: snoRNA U82 or Z25 is found in both humans and mice. U82/Z25 is a member of the C/D class of snoRNA which contain C (UGAUGA) and D (CUGA) box motifs. Lineage: Eukaryota; Metazoa; Chordata; Mammalia; Diprotodontia; Macropodidae. The record is from RNAcentral.
AGCACAAGUGAUGAUCUGACAAGGGACUUAAUUCUGAAGUCUGAUGGACAGACACACUGUAAGCAGCUGAUGUGC